CUAGUGAACAGCACGGUUUCUUCCCUCUGGCCAGGAUUAGGUCACAGAGUGGCCCAGCAGCGUGGGUUUGAACAUUUCCUCCUGUUCUAACAGCCCUCGUAAAAAAAUAGGUUGAUUUGUGUUGGUGUUUGCUGAUAUGUGAUACUGUGUUUUCCAGGUCCCAACCAGAUGAACCAGAUACUCUUCGAUCUCCAAGCCCUCUAAUGAUCUUGCAGUGAUACUUGAAUGAGUCGCUGCCGAAUCCAGCUGGCCGGCAGCCCGAGAGACUGCAGUCCUCAGCGUAGCCACAGCACAGGGCAAACCUCGGAACCUCGGCAGAAACGAGGAGCUUUCUCUUCGGAUGUUCUCACCAAAAGGCUAUUUUCAAAGAAAUGUGUAAUUCUGGAAUAAAACCCAUGAUUGGAAAAGAGAAGGGAUCGGCAGAGCUAGACAGCAAGGGUAAGGGGCAGAUCUGGCCCUGAUUUCAUUUUGGGUCUAUUCCUGCUCUUGUAUCACUCAGUGAUGUUUGGCAUCCUGGUGCUUUCAGGUUGUUAUUCCAGGAGAAAAUCAGCUGGGCUGACUGACAGUCCCCUAGGACGCUGGAUUCAUUGUCCUGGGGAUAACAUUUGCUACAGAAGCUGAGGAUUUGAUGUAGAGAGUAUAUUUGUGUUUCGCCCACACAACAUUACGUACAUGCGUAAUUCCCAUUGAUGUUGCUGACGCGUGUUUGUGGAAAAGCAAAGUGAAGCCCCAAGUUAUUUCACUUUGCACUAUCAACAGUUCAGUCUGAACUAAUAGCUGUAUUUAUGAGGCCCGGUCAACUCUGAUUGAAGUCUUUCCACAGACAUUACAGGGCUUUGGGCUGGGCCCUAACAAAGACCAGA
Molecule: long non-coding RNA, 863 nt
Filed under: Calidris pygmaea (Spoon-billed sandpiper)
Lineage: Eukaryota; Metazoa; Chordata; Aves; Charadriiformes; Scolopacidae
Description: lncRNA (ENSCPGG00000014251.1)
Source: RNAcentral